This 2040-nucleotide unclassified non-coding RNA is filed under the name Leishmania donovani. RNAcentral describes it as "gene:LdHU3.16.1370(CDS-product:hypothetical_prote in)". The record is from RNAcentral. Lineage: Eukaryota; Euglenozoa; Kinetoplastea; Trypanosomatida; Trypanosomatidae.
CGGCUGGCGUGCAUUCUCAGCGCACAGAAGCUUCCACUUCACCAGGCGCCCACGCCCGUACACACUUUUCCUCCAUGUAAAGCCCAAACACACAGUGACACGCCAUCACACGCGCGCAUAUUCUUAUGCAGUGACGAUACCUCGCCCUCUCUCGCUCUCUCACAAGCACCUUGCCCGUCUCUCUCUCGGGCAUCCUCGUCCCUCCCCACUUCGACUGCCUCCCGCCCAACGUCCCCGCUCGCUCUGCUUGAGUCUCCAUACGCUUACAGACCAGCACGAGGUUUCCAGUCAAGCUCAUCGAGCGCACAGAAAACAACAAAAUCUACUCCCACUUGCACAGCUUCGUGUGACACCAUCGGCCUCGACGACAGUUCACACGCGUGUCCUCCCGCACUCGAUCAUCUAAGCAGAACGAUACCGGGCCAGCAGCAGCGGCAGCAACUACUACAACAAGCCAACAAAAGGCAGAAAUCAUGGCCCACCUUGGCGGGCACACGACUAAGCAGACCUACGUGACGACAUACACGACAGACAUCGACCCUCGCAUGCUGCCGGACUUUGUGACCCGCGGUGCCGUGCCAGCAGAGGGCUGGCGCGGUGAUGAAACUACCGGGGAGCGACAGACAAGCGCGAAGUAUGCUUCACAACCGCCUUGCGGCCAGGAGCGGCACCAUCACCCACCUCGGCAUCCUUACAACCCACGGCCGCCUCACCAUGGCGGCGCGCCUCCUUACGAUCACGGCUAUCGCCAGCAACCUCCCGCUUCCCAUCACGACGAGUACGGAUGCAGCGAAGCUUCGGCGUCAACAUCGUCCGCCACUACCUCAGCCACUUCCAGCGCUAGCAGAGCCGAUAAUGGCAGCUCACACCGCUUGCGCAAGAAGUACACCACCACCACCGUCACAACGAUCACCACCACCACGAUCCUGCUGCCGAAGGUGCAAGAGGCCUACGUAUUCCCCUCUGUUACGUCCCAUCACACGGACCAGCAGCAGAACGUGGGAGGGGCAGGCGGACCGUACGCCAUCACAGGCGGCGGCACGCGCGAAUACGUGCAACCGCCGCAAGGGUGUCUUUAUGAGGUCGGCAAUGGCAGCGACAGUAGCGGCCGGAUUCAGGAGGCCAAUUUUCCCGCCGGCAAUCGUGUAGUGCCAUCGAAGAUGCAGCCCGCCCUCAGUGGCGAGGGCUCGCAGAACUGGGAGUUCCGCCAGCACACCAAAAACCAGGUAGAAACAGAGGAGGCCCGGGGGCGGCUGCCCACGCUGCAGGACCUCGGUAUCGCCAGCUACUUUGCAAAGGACAGCACAGGAAACGGAAGCGCGGUGCCGCGGCGGCGGGAGGCACCGUAUGCUCCGGCGCCGCACAACCCCAGUAACGGCGCUGCCCCGCUGCGGCAGCAGCCAUGGGUGGCGGCGGAGACGCGGUACGAAGUGGAGGGCGGCAAGCGAUACUGCUAGGAAAGCAUCAUGGCACGCCGUCCGCCCCGCACGGCUUUCGUGCGCGGCCUUAUUCUCUGGUUUCGGUGCCGAGCACCAUCGAGUCGUUCGUCGGCAGCCGGCGCGUAAGCAUGGAAAAACGAUACCUGACCCGCGUUCCAGAUCUUUCCUUUGUUCUUUUCUGCUGUUGGUGAUUUGCUCGUGACUCGUCCUGCACGCCUGCUUCGUCGUGCAUGCGCAUGCGGUCUCACAGUAUAGAGCGCUCAUGGAGGCGGUGUGCCGCUCCCUCCUCCUCCCCCUUUUGUUUGUGCAUAUCCACGGCGAUAUGAACCGUCGGAUAACUCUUCAUUGUUGCCGUUCUUGGGUGUGCGCGUGCAUUCUCCGUGCGGGCUGUCCAAUGCGGUGGGGCGCAUGUGGGCGCGUAAGCGUCCCCUUCCUCCCUUCCCCUCUCCCCACGGGUUGCACUCAACAUGCUUGGCGCUCGACCACAGCCACUCGCCCUCUAUUGCUGAUAUCUCUUUCUGUUUUCGUCUUCUUUCCAUGGCAUAAACUGUUUUUCUUUUUUUUUCUCAUAUGGUUUUCGUAUCCGAUGCCUUCAUACUGG